This 95-nucleotide microRNA precursor is filed under the name Gossypium arboreum. RNAcentral describes it as "MIR7502 microRNA precursor family". It matches the Rfam family "MIR7502 microRNA precursor family". The record is from Rfam by way of RNAcentral. Lineage: Eukaryota; Viridiplantae; Streptophyta; Magnoliopsida; Malvales; Malvaceae.
UGUUAAAAAUUUCAUCUAUUUUUAUUAUUAAAAACUGUUAUGGUUAACAAAAUAACUCUAAUUUUUAACCGUAAAAAUAGAUGAAACUUUUAAUA